UUAGUCUUCAUAGUUUACGUUACAGCUAUAGCAUUCCACUGGCAGUCAUUUAUCUAAUGACUUACAUCUUUCAGGCUGCGGAAAAUGCAGGAUAAGAGAGAGAGAGAGAGAAAGUGAUUGUUGGGGGGAGUUCUUUUUAAUUUGCAUUUCAGGGCUGUACCUAGAAUCAUAAAUAUACAGAAGUUAGCACCUACCUAUCAUCCCUCAGCUAUCUUAUUUCCAGAGCAUUACGAUACGAAAACAAUGGGAUUAGGGCACUAUAUGCUUCAAUCCCUAUCACCCCCGAUCCCCAAACUUAAUCUUAGAAAAUGCCUGUCUGUGCUAGAGAAAUGGAUUGCACGUAACAUGACAACCGUCUUUUAUAGAGGCAAACCAGACUCACUGGGCUCUAAUGCUGUAAAGGAAAAAGCUUAACAGGGCAUCAGCGGCCUACUAGCUGAGAGCAAGAAGCAAUCUACUGUGUCCCUGCAUGACGUGACUCCGCUGAAUGAAUUAAGAGGUCGCGGUGACUUUUGGAGCAAUGGUCAACUGCUGGAGUUGGAGGAGGAUUGGGUUUCUGUGGGAAAACGUGCAGUUAUUUGCAGAAACGAGCAAGAGGGAGCAGCACAGGAUCUGCCACGAGGAUCUCCCAGGCUGCUGGUCUGCGUGAGGAGGAGAGGAAGGCCUGCACACACGAGGAAGGCUGUGAAGGAGAAAGACUGGGAUGCCCAACAAAGGAAAUUUCAGCUGCCAAGCGUCCCAUCAGGCACGCUAGAACUUGUGAUGAUUUGGGGCUCAAUAACACCUACAGAACAGGUACGUUCAUUACAAAGACCAAGUUGAGAUGUUCCCUAAACCCCCGCCAAAUGCAAAUCUGCUCAGGUAACAGAGCAGAUUGAUGUUCAGCUAGAUGUUUCCAAAGUAUGAUUUUUCCUUGAAGCCUUGGUGAGUAAUGGGUAUAAAUUACCAGUAGCCUAAUUUUUAUCUAUUUAUUUUUUGAUUGAUUUAUUGAUUUCCUCAUAGUAUAUUAUAGAUAAUUUUAUUUAUUUUAUUUUCAACUUUUUAUAGGUUUAGAAGUUGCCAACUUAUCACUUGCAGCUAUACAAGACUCAGGCAAGUUAGACCUAGGGAAGCACAAAAUCAUUUGAUGCUUGUCUUAUAUCUAGGCUCUAAAGGCUUUUGUCCAGGCACUGCCUUUGUUUGCUUUUUUUUGUUUUUAUGCAGCUAGGUAACAUAGCUGGGCCCAGCUCCAUAUCAGUUGUCUUGGGCAUGGCUGCACUGCGACCAGAAAAUCAUUACCACCAGACAAUCAGCUCUCAGUGCAUGCAAGUUUCUGCCGCCUGUUUGAAAGCGAGUUGAAGUGCUUGUGGAGGUUUAAUCGAAAUCUAAAUACAUGUGACUGAAAUUGGCUCUCUGUGAUUAUUUAUACAAGUAAAUCUCUGCUUCUCAGAAGCUCCCAGAAAUCAAAUGCCAGCCUUGUAUGAUUUUUUUUUUUUCCAAAGGAGUAAAUAUUUGGUGAAAAUACUUUGCUGUAUUAAUUUUGCUCUGCCUUCUCUCAGGCAGGCCUGAUAGGGAUGGAGAGACUCCUGGUGUGCAUCAAUCAGCCCACAGUGAAGAGGGACCAAGCUAGCUGAUUACUUGGUCCAUAAUGAGUUAUCCUCAGAAUGAAACCCAAACAUUUCAGGUAGCCUAGAAAAGAUCUUAAAAUAGCUCAUUUUUCCUUAUACAUCUACAUAUCCAGCUAAAAUCUUCCAGGAAAUGUUCCUCAUUUCAACACUAGGUACGUCAGGUGUAUUUUAAGCAGGAGGUAGUUUAAGCAGAGUAACACAUAUUUCCAUGUUUUCCUAACCCCCACCUGAAAGCACAUCUGCCAGUAGGUGGUUUAUAACUUGACAGUCAGCCACUGCUAAUUUCUUAAUGCUAUAUAAUGUUCUCAUUCCCUGAUGGUGACCUUUUUUUUUUUUCUUUUACUUUUUUUUUUUUUUGGGUAUGUGGUAACCCUUUUACCUUCUUUUUCCCUACUCAGGCCCAUUAGCAGGAUGUUGUGCAAUAUGGUGCUUGUCAUCUGUUUCAAAGACACAGUGAUGAGAUACAGGUAUGCCAGAUGGAUAAACCUAGUGUGACUAAUUAUUGUGUAUUUGCCUUUAAUUAUUAUCAUUUAUUACCAGAGAAAAGACAAUAGAGGUUCCCAGACUCAGAAAGGAAUGUCGGCAGAAGGGGAUUUUUUUUUUUUUUCAUGAGACUGGUACAUCAGCAAGAAAAGUUUUCUUUCUGGGGAGAAAUAUAAGCAAAUGUCAAGAAAAGAGGAGUCAGUGUGACCCGUGCAAUGCUCUCCUUUCCUUGACAUGCUUGAGAAUCAGAUAUCUCACAGGUAAUACAUAGUUUCUUUGUAACUGUAGAACAGCUUUUCCCUUAUUGAAUGUGCAUGCAGGACAUAAUGAAUGUAUGGGGAUCCUUUAGUGAUUUGCAGGGAUAUCUACCCUGGGAUGCAGUACACUGCCUUUGGUCCUCUUUCUGGUCAUGUCCUGGGAGGUGAGGACAGCCUGAGCUCUGCCCUUUUGGCACUGAAAGACGGGGGGGUGAGCUGGUCUGGGUACAAAUGGGCAUCCAGGUGAAUGGGAGAUGGGGCUUUCCAUUGCUCUGUAAGCCAGAUGGACCUCAACUGCUUCAUGGUGAAGUUAAACCCACAAGUCCCGAAGCUGCAAUUUUUGUAUAAAAUAUAGGCUCAGGGUAGAAAAUAUCUUCAAAAGGUUUCUGUACCAUCAGGCUGAGCCCUCAGACCUUUGGAUGGAAUUUGCCUCCCUGUCCAAACCUGAUAUACAGGGUCUCUACAGUGUUUGUUGUAGACGUAGACUUUCCACUUUUAGGUAUUACAGCCUUAUUACCAAUAAGAUCCUCUCAAAAACAAAACAAAACAAAACAACAGCAACAAAAAACACGUAUAAGACAAAUAUUUUAAAAUAAAGGGGAUAUCUCCAUUGCA
Long non-coding RNA from Anser cygnoides (Swan goose), 2962 nucleotides. The record is from Ensembl. NCBI's taxonomy places the organism in Eukaryota, Metazoa, Chordata, Aves, Anseriformes, Anatidae.